AUACGUAGGGGGCGAGCGUUGUCCGGAAUGAUUGGGCGUAAAGGGCGCGUAGGCGGCGCGGUAAGUCUGGAGAGAACGUCCUGCUUUCAAGGUGGGAAUUGCUUUGGAUACUGCCGCGCUUGAGUGCAGGAGAGGUUAUCGGAAUUCCCGGUGUAGCGGUGAAAUGCGUAGAUAUCAGGAGGAACAACGGUGGCGAAGGCAGCUUACUGGGCUUUUACUGACGCUGAGGCUCGGAAGCGUGGGGAGCAAACAGGAUUUGAUUCCCUGGUAGUCCACGCUGUAAACGAUGAAUACUAGGUGUGGGGGGACUGACCCCUUCCGUGCCGCAGUUAACACAAUAAGUAAUCCACCUGGGGAGUACGGCCGCAAGGUUGAAACUCAAAUGAAUUGGCGGGG
RNAcentral lists this ribosomal RNA (396 nucleotides) under uncultured bacterium. Its description in RNAcentral is "partial 16S ribosomal RNA". It matches the Rfam family "Bacterial small subunit ribosomal RNA", at positions 523 to 918 of the family's 1533-position model. The record is from RNAcentral.